Betta splendens (Siamese fighting fish) is the source of this 606-nucleotide long non-coding RNA. NCBI's taxonomy places the organism in Eukaryota, Metazoa, Chordata, Actinopteri, Anabantiformes, Osphronemidae. The record is from Ensembl.
AUGGCCACACAAAGUAAUGAAAGUCGUAAGAAAAUAAAACCUGAAUUGCACACACACAUCGAAACACACAUCCACACCCUGCCAUUGUUUGUUGUUUCAAACAUAUUAAAUUGUUUUUGUAUUAUUUUAUUUACAGUUGCUGAUAUGACAGAUGUCAUUCAUUCUGAAUGCGAGAAAAAGUCUCAAAGUCGUUUCUUUCGACGUCUCCAGAAUCUGAAAAGGCAUCAUCAUAUGUGUGAACAACGGCAUGAGAAGGCACAAACCGAGAGGUUAGAUGACCAGAGAAAGAAGACCUUGAGCCUGAGCCAAAAGAAUGAACAGCAAUCGUCCAGUGACAGUGAGGGGACACUUAUUCUGGAACACACUCCAGCUGACGUUGAAAAAGACCCAAAUGUACCUGAGCUCAGAAGAACUGACAGUGUAAUUCUUGCCAGACAAAUGCAUGGCUAUGCAUCAGACCAAUCUAUAUCAAGUUGUCAAAGCAGCGGGGAUGAAUAUAUUCCCGAAACUUCUGAAUCAAAAAGUGAAGAAGAAGCAGAAGUUACAGAAAAGGACAGCCAACUUCCCGGAAAUGGAUCACCAACCACCGAAGAAAAGAGAAAAUAG